RNAcentral lists this ribosomal RNA (460 nucleotides) under uncultured bacterium. Its description in RNAcentral is "partial 16S ribosomal RNA". It matches the Rfam family "Bacterial small subunit ribosomal RNA", at positions 338 to 795 of the family's 1533-position model. The record is from RNAcentral.
CCUACGGGAGGCAGCAGUGAGGAAUAUUGGUCAAUGGACGCAAGUCUGAACCAGCCAUGCCGCGUGCAGGAAGACGGCUCUAUGAGUUGUAAACUGCUUUUGUACGAGGGUAAACUCAGAUACGCGUAUCUGUCUGAAAGUAUCUUACGAAUAAGGAUCGGCUAACUCCGUGCCAGCAGCCGCGGUAAUACGGAGGAUUCAAGCGUUAUCCGGAUUUAUUGGGUUUAAAGGGUGCGUAGGCGGUCGGAUAAGUUAGAGGUGAAAUCCCGAGGCUCAACUUCGGAAUUGCCUCUGAUACUGUCCGGCUAGAGAGUAGUUGCGGUAGGCGGAAUGUAUGGUGUAGCGGUGAAAUGCUUAGAGAUCACACAGAACACCGAUUGCGAAGGCAGCUUACCAAGCUACUUCUGACGUUGAGGCACGAAAGCGUGGGGAGCAAACAGGAUUAGAUACCCGAGUAGUC